GGUUUUCAAAACCCUUGCUGCUCCAGUCAUGAUAUACAACUCUAUUGGAGUUCUAAUCUAGAAGAUCCUGCAGAAAGCCGCUAAAUUUCUCCCACCAAAAUGAAGUAUCCAACAAAAUACAUUGUGAGAAAAGAUGGAUUGCAUUGAACUUGGUUUUUCAGUUGGAGGGCCAUGACAAUUAGAAAUUCAAUUUCUUUUUUUCAUGAUCUGUAUUCACCGACUCUUUUUUAGAUUU
RNAcentral lists this unclassified non-coding RNA (235 nucleotides) under Hevea brasiliensis (rubber tree). The record is from RNAcentral. Lineage: Eukaryota; Viridiplantae; Streptophyta; Magnoliopsida; Malpighiales; Euphorbiaceae.